GCCAGGCAUGGUGACUCAUGCCUGUAAUCCCAGCAACUGAAGGCGGAGGCAGGAGGAUCACAAGUUCAAAGCCCGCCUCAGCAACUUAAUGAGACCCUGUCUCAA
RNAcentral lists this small RNA (105 nucleotides) under Marmota monax (woodchuck). Lineage: Eukaryota; Metazoa; Chordata; Mammalia; Rodentia; Sciuridae. The record is from RNAcentral.